CCAGCAGGUCUAUGGGGCAGCAGAUACCCUACAAUGAAUUACAAUGAUAGGACCAACUCAAAGCCUCCAAGCCAUGGGCCUGGACUGCUUCCUAGACAGCUCUCUGGCUUGCUCCCUCCUUCACACUUUGACCUCAUGGCACCAAUGGUUGUGCCACCUGACACUCUACCCUACUGAGGUCAUUUGCCCAGAGUGGAUUUGCCAUACAUAGAUUUUUUUCAGCAUUAAAAAACUUCAACAUUAAAAAUCUAUUAAAAGAUGAUCUUUGAAUUAAAUCUCUCCUUUGUGUCCUCAUGUUCACAUUAAUUUGAUGUGUUGUAUCAUCGUUUACAAUGCUUAUUGCUUCUGCAUUGCUUUACUUUACUGACAAGUAUUUAUUAUACACAUAUAUUUUAUUUUAGACAUUACAAAAACAUAUUUUUGUGCAUUUUGGAUUUCCUACAUUUACUUACUGUACAGACAAGUAUAUUUUAUAC
Molecule: long non-coding RNA, 476 nt
Organism: Salvelinus sp. IW2-2015
Lineage: Eukaryota; Metazoa; Chordata; Actinopteri; Salmoniformes; Salmonidae
Source: RefSeq, a predicted model, not a curated record